UUAGUGGAAGCGUCUGGAAAGGCGCGCGAUACAGGGUGACAGCCCCGUACACAAAAGCGCAUGUGCUGUGAGCUCGAUGAGUAGGGCGGGACACGUGGUAUCCUGUCUGAAUAUGGGGGGACCAUCCUCCAAGGCUAAAUACUCCUGACUGACCGAUAGUGAACCAGUACCGUGAGGGAAAGGCGAAAAGAACCCCGGCGAGGGGAGUGAAAAAGAACCUGAAACCGUGUACGUACAAGCAGUGGGAGCACAGGUUUACCUGUGUGACUGCGUACCUUUUGUAUAAUGGGUCAGCGACUUAUAUUCUGUAGCAAGGUUAACCGAAUAGGGGAGCCGGAGGGAAACCGAGUCUUAAYYGGGCGUUAAGUUGCAGGGUAUAGACCCGAAACCCGGUGAUCUAGCCAUGGGCAGGUUGAAGGUUGGGUAACACUAACUGGAGGACCGAACCGACUAAUGUUGAAAAAUUAGCGGAUGACCUGUGGCUGGGGGUGAAAGGCCAAUCAAACCGGGAG
Molecule: ribosomal RNA, 512 nt
Filed under: Salmonella enterica subsp. enterica serovar Infantis
Lineage: Bacteria; Pseudomonadati; Pseudomonadota; Gammaproteobacteria; Enterobacterales; Enterobacteriaceae
Also listed under: 1 other name
Description: partial 23S ribosomal RNA
Source: RNAcentral